This 528-nucleotide ribosomal RNA is filed under the name Streptococcus thermophilus. RNAcentral's name for it is "bacterial SSU rRNA". It matches the Rfam family "Bacterial small subunit ribosomal RNA", at positions 353 to 872 of the family's 1533-position model. Lineage: Bacteria; Bacillati; Bacillota; Bacilli; Lactobacillales; Streptococcaceae. The record is from RNAcentral.
AGUAGGGAAUCUUCGGCAAUGGGGGCAACCCUGACCGAGCAACGCCGCGUGAGUGAAGAAGGUUUUCGGAUCGUAAAGCUCUGUUGUAAGUCAAGAACGGGUGUGAGAGUGGAAAGUUCACACUGUGACGGUAGCUUACCAGAAAGGGACGGCUAACUACGUGCCAGCAGCCGCGGUAAUACGUAGGUCCCGAGCGUUGUCCGGAUUUAUUGGGCGUAAAGCGAGCGCAGGCGGUUUGAUAAGUCUGAAGUUAAAGGCUGUGGCUCAACCAUAGUUCGCUUUGGAAACUGUCAAACUUGAGUGCAGAAGGGGAGAGUGGAAUUCCAUGUGUAGCGGUGAAAUGCGUAGAUAUAUGGAGGAACACCGGUGGCGAAAGCGGCUCUCUGGUCUGUAACUGACGCUGAGGCUCGAAAGCGUGGGGAGCGAACAGGAUUAGAUACCCUGGUAGUCCACGCCGUAAACGAUGAGUGCUAGGUGUUGGAUCCUUUCCGGGAUUCAGUGCCGAAGCUAACGCAUUAAGCACUCCGC